This 24-nucleotide non-coding RNA is filed under the name Arabidopsis thaliana (thale cress). Lineage: Eukaryota; Viridiplantae; Streptophyta; Magnoliopsida; Brassicales; Brassicaceae. The record is from RNAcentral.
AUAAUCUCCCUCGACCUAAUCCAU